Long non-coding RNA from Neofelis nebulosa (Clouded leopard), 725 nucleotides. RefSeq lists it as uncharacterized. NCBI's taxonomy places the organism in Eukaryota, Metazoa, Chordata, Mammalia, Carnivora, Felidae. The transcript is spliced from 2 exons. The record is from RefSeq and is a predicted model, not a curated record.
CUUCCUCCUGCCAAAGCCUGACUCAUCGGCCGUGCUCCAGCUUGGCUCUCCGAGCGAAAGGCCGGCUCUGCUCAUGGAGCCAACCAGAGCCGGGGCUGGCCCGGAGGAGAGGGAAGCAGGGCAGGAGGCCAAAGGCAGGGACGCCCCAGACGCUCGGGCCGGCGAGCCAGGGAUCUGGCUCCUCAUAAAGGGCCCUUGUGCGUUAGGCCCGGGCCGCCAGGCCCUGUAGGCCUGGGGUCCGGGGGCUCUGGGGCCGCUGGAGCACUGACUCGGCACCCACGCUCCACACGAACUCUGACCCUGUCCCACGAGAGACCAGACAGCUCUGAGGAGACGGACCACCGCCUCCGAAAGCCUCUCUCCUUCCAGAAUCGCUGGAAAAGUCUCUGCUGACAACAUUUGCAGGAUUUCAUGAGGCCCCACCUCCACCACCAAAAGCCCAACACAACACAGCGUGGCAGAAAUGCCAAAGCUGUGCCUUCAAGAAUCAGGGCGAGAACUGGGACCUCACCAGCCAAGUGCCACCUACCAGAGCGUUCUCUUCACGGAACGCCCACGGAUGCGCAUAAACCCCAAUGCAGGCUACUUUUGGGGGACCUCCUUAGAACAACAACGGGGGUUUGCUCAGGAACAGGGCCAGGGGAAACGUAAGCCACCCACAGCCUGAGCGCCUCCUGGACAAAGGGGACAUUUGAAAGGUGUCAAUAAAGUGCUUCUCCAGGCAA